UAACAAAGAUCAGAGAAGACAAGGGUGUUACAUAAUGGAAAAGGGAUCAAUGCAAUAAGAAGAGCUAACUAUCCUAAAUAUAUAUGCACCCAAUACAGGAGCACCCAACA
Sapajus apella (tufted capuchin) is the source of this 110-nucleotide long non-coding RNA. RefSeq lists it as uncharacterized. The transcript is spliced from 3 exons. NCBI's taxonomy places the organism in Eukaryota, Metazoa, Chordata, Mammalia, Primates, Cebidae. The record is from RefSeq and is a predicted model, not a curated record.